AGAACGAACGCUGGCGGCAGGCCUAACACAUGCAAGUCGAACGCUCCGCAAGGGGAGUGGCAGACGGGUGAGUAACACGUGGGAACAUACCCUUCGGUUCGGAAUAACUCAGGGAAACUUGAGCUAAUACCGGAUACGUCCUGGCGGAGAAAGAUUUAUUGCCGAAGGAUUGGCCCGCGUCCGAUUAGCUAGUUGGUGAGGUAACGGCUCACCAAGGCGACGAUCGGUAGCUGGUCUGAGAGGAUGAUCAGCCACACUGGGACUGAGACACGGCCCAGACUCCUACGGGAGGCAGCAGUGGGGAAUAUUGGACAAUGGGCGCAAGCCUGAUCCAGCCAUGCCGCGUGAGUGAUGAAGGCCCUAGGGUUGUAAAGCUCUUUCGUCAGGGACGAUAAUGACGGUACCUGAAGAGAAGCCCGGCUAACUCGUGCCAGCAGCCGC
RNAcentral lists this ribosomal RNA (441 nucleotides) under uncultured bacterium. Its description in RNAcentral is "SSU rRNA". It matches the Rfam family "Bacterial small subunit ribosomal RNA", at positions 26 to 518 of the family's 1533-position model. The record is from RNAcentral.